Molecule: ribosomal RNA, 735 nt
Filed under: uncultured bacterium
Lineage: Bacteria
Description: bacterial SSU rRNA
Rfam family: Bacterial small subunit ribosomal RNA
Source: RNAcentral
AGAGUUUGAUCAUGGCUCAGAACGAACGCNGGCGGCAGGCCUAACACAUGCAAGUCGAGCGCCCGCAAGGGAGCGGCAGACGGGUGAGUAACGCGUGGGAACGUGCCCUUUGGUUCGGAAUAUUCCCGGGAAACUGGGAGCAAAACCGGAUAAGCCCUUCGGGGGAAAGUUUACGCCAAAGGAUCGGCCCGCGUUAGAUUAGGUAGUUGGUGGGGUAACGGCCUACCAAGCCUACGAUCUAUAGCUGAUCUGAGAGGAUGAUCAGCCACACUGGGACUGAGACACGGCCCAGACUCCUACGGGAGGCAGCAGUGGGGAAUCUUGGACAAUGGGCGCAAGCCUGAUCCAGCCAUGCCGCGUGGAUGACUGAAGGCCCUAGGGUUGUAAAGUCCUUUCGACGGGGACGAUAAUGACGGUACCCGUAGAAGAAGCCCCGGCUAACUUCGUGCCAGCAGCCGCGGUAAUACGAAGGGGGCUAGCGUUGUUCGGAUUUACUGGGCGUAAAGGGCGCGUAGGCGGAUUUUUAAGUCGGGGGUGAAAUCCCGGAGCUCAACUCCGGAACUGCCUUCGAUACUGGAAGUCUGGAGCACGGUAGAGGUGAGUGGAAUUCCGAGCGUAGAGGUGAAAUUCGUAGAUAUUCGGAGGAACACCAGUGGCGAAGGCGGCUCACUGGACCGUUGCUGACGCUGAGGCGCGAAAGCGUGGGGAGCAAACAGGAUUAGAUACCCCGGUAGU